This 301-nucleotide ribosomal RNA is filed under the name uncultured bacterium. Its description in RNAcentral is "partial 16S ribosomal RNA". It matches the Rfam family "Bacterial small subunit ribosomal RNA", at positions 509 to 809 of the family's 1533-position model. The record is from RNAcentral.
CAGUCGCCACGGGAAUACGGAGGGUGCAAGCGUUAAUCGGAAUUACUGGGCGUAAAGCGCACGCAGGCGGUCUGACAAGUCAGAUGUGAAAUCCCCGGGCUUAACCUGGGAACUGCAUUUGAAACUGUUAGGCUGGAGUCUUGUAGAGGGGGGUGGAAUUCCAGGUGUAGCGGUGAAAUGCGUAGAGAUCUGGAGGAAUACCGGUGGCGAAGGCGGCCCCCUGGACAAAGACUGACGCUCAGGUGCGAAAGCGUGGGGAGCAAACAGGAUUAGAUACCCGCGUAGUCCCUGUCUCUUAUAA